This 277-nucleotide long non-coding RNA is filed under the name Elaeis guineensis (African oil palm). Its description in RNAcentral is "long non-coding RNA (EGUI_LNC054655)". The record is from RNAcentral. Lineage: Eukaryota; Viridiplantae; Streptophyta; Magnoliopsida; Arecales; Arecaceae.
UUGGGCUUAGUACAUACUGAUGUCUGCGGUCCAAUAUCGAUUCAUGUCAGAUAUAGGUACUCCUACUAUUAGAAAAUCGGGUAGGUAGCAUGUAUAUAUUUCAAAAAUAUUUUUGAACGCAGUAGAAAAACAAAUGGGUUAAACCCUUUAACCCCACAUGCAUAAGAUCAAAUCUAAUCCUACCCAAAGCCCAAGAGAAAAUAAAUAUAUAAUCUAAAGUUUAGAGAUAAGUAUGAGAUCGGAUCUCAAUACCUUGGCACGGAUAGAUAUUCACCGC